AUUGAACGCUGGCGGCAGGCCUAACACAUGCAAGUCGAGCGGAUGACGGGAGCUUGCUCCUUGAUUCAGCGGCGGACGGGUGAGUAAUGCCUAGGAAUCUGCCUGGUAGUGGGGGACAGCGUUUCGAAAGGAACGCUAAUACCGCAUACGUCCUACGGGAGAAAGCGGGGGACCUUCGGGCCUUGCGCUAUCAGAUGAGCCUAGGUCGGAGUAGCUAGUAGGUGAGGUAAUGGCUCACCUAGGCGACGAUCCGUAACUGGUCUGAGAGGAUGAUCAGUCACACUGGAACUGAGACACGGUCCAGACUCCUACGGGGGGCAGCAGUGGGGAAUAUUGGACAAUGGGCGAAAGCCUGAUCCAGCCAUGCCGCGUGUGUGAAGAAGGUCUUCGGAUUGUAAAGCACUUUAAGUUGGGAGGAAGGGCAGUAAGUUAAUACCUUGCUGUUUUGACGUUACCGACAGAAUAAGCACCGGCUAACUCUGUGCCAGCCGCCGCCGUAA
This 500-nucleotide ribosomal RNA is filed under the name uncultured bacterium. RNAcentral describes it as "partial 16S ribosomal RNA". It matches the Rfam family "Bacterial small subunit ribosomal RNA", at positions 30 to 523 of the family's 1533-position model. The record is from RNAcentral.